Molecule: ribosomal RNA, 552 nt
Filed under: Xylariaceae sp. M57-3
Lineage: Eukaryota; Fungi; Ascomycota; Sordariomycetes; Xylariales; Xylariaceae
Description: eukaryotic LSU rRNA
Rfam family: 5.8S ribosomal RNA (bases 194-347)
Source: RNAcentral
AUGCGGAGGGAUCAUUAAAGAGUUCUAUAACUCCCAAACCCAUGUGAACAAUACCUUACGUUGCCUCGGCAGGUCGCGCUCACCCUAUAAGUCUUACCCUGUAAGACCUACCCGGGUGGCGCGGGUAAGCCUGCCGGCGGCCUACCAAACUCUGUUUAAUAUUGAAUUCUGAACUUAUAACUAAAUAAGUUAAAACUUUCAACAACGGAUCUCUUGGUUCUGGCAUCGAUGAAGAACGCAGCGAAAUGCGAUAAGUAAUGUGAAUUGCAGAAUUCAGUGAAUCAUCGAAUCUUUGAACGCAUAUUGCGCCCAUUAGUAUUCUAGUGGGCAGGACCGUUCGAGCGUCAUUUCAACCCUUAAGCCCCUGUUGCUUAGCGUUGGGAGCCUACGGUAACGUAGCUCCUCAAAGUUAGUGGCGGAGUUGGUUCACACUCUAGACGUAGUAAUUCUUAUCUCGCCUAUUAGUUGGACCGGCCCCCGCCGUAAAACCACCCAAUUUCUCAAGGUUGACCUCGAAUCGGUUCUGAAAAUCCACUGAACUUAAGCAUAUCU